This 460-nucleotide ribosomal RNA is filed under the name uncultured bacterium. Its description in RNAcentral is "partial 16S ribosomal RNA". It matches the Rfam family "Bacterial small subunit ribosomal RNA", at positions 338 to 795 of the family's 1533-position model. The record is from RNAcentral.
CCUACGGGAGGCAGCAGUGAGGAAUAUUGGUCAAUGGACGCAAGUCUGAACCAGCCAUGCCGCGUGCAGGAAUACGGCUCUAUGAGUUGUAAACUGCUUUUGUACGAGGGUAAACUCAGAUACGCGUAUCUUUCUGCACGUAUCGUCCGAAUAAGGAUCGGCUAACUCCGUGCCAGCAGCCGCGGUAAUCCGGAGGAUUCAAGCGUUAUCCGGAUUUAUUGGGUUUAACGGGUGCGUAGGCGGUCGGAUAAGUUAGAGGUGAAAUCCCGAGGCUCAACUUCGGAAUUGCCUCUGAUCCUGUUCGGCUAGAGAGUAGUUGCGGUAGGCGGAAUGUAUGGUGUAGCGGUGAAAUGCUUAGAGAUCAUACAGAACACCGAUUGCGAAGGCAGCUUACCAAGCUACGUCUGACGUUGAGGCACGAAAGCGUGGGGAGCAAACAGGAUUAGGUACCCCAGUAGUC